AAUAACUUAUUUCUUGAGAAGUAAAAUGCGUAAUAUUUUAUAUGUUUUUUAAAUAUUAUAAAGUGCUUCCUUUAAUACUCCGAAUAGCAUGUUCCAAAUGCACUACAACAACAUGUUAUAAGCUCGGUAAAGGCGGCUGAGAGCCAUCCUAACACAUAUAGGUGAGGAAAUGCGAACUAGAGGUAGUCGAGUGGAUGAUAGGCCGGAAGUCUAUAAA
Molecule: non-coding RNA, 217 nt
Organism: Lachnobacterium bovis
Lineage: Bacteria; Bacillati; Bacillota; Clostridia; Lachnospirales; Lachnospiraceae
Source: Rfam